Molecule: ribosomal RNA, 472 nt
Filed under: uncultured bacterium
Lineage: Bacteria
Description: bacterial SSU rRNA
Rfam family: Bacterial small subunit ribosomal RNA
Source: RNAcentral
UGGGGAAUAUUGGACAAUGGGCGAAAGCCUGAUCCAGCCAUGCCGCGUGUGUGAAGAAGGUCUUCGGAUUGUAAAGCACUUUAAGUUGGGAGGAAGGGCAGUAAGUUAAUACCUUGCUGUUUUGACGUUACCGACAGAAUAAGCACCGGCUAACUCUGUGCCAGCAGCCGCGGUAAUACAGAGGGUGCAAGCGUUAAUCGGAAUUACUGGGCGUAAAGCGCGCGUAGGUGGUUAGUUAGGUUGGAUGUGAAAUCCCCGGGCUCAACCUGGGAACUGCAUUCAAAACUGACUGACUAGAGUAUGGUAGAGGGUGGUGGAAUUUCCUGUGUAGCGGUGAAAUGCGUAGAUAUAGGAAGGAACACCAGUGGCGAAGGCGACCACCUGGACUAAUACUGACACUGAGGUGCGAAAGCGUGGGUAGCGAACAGGAUUAGAUACCCACGUAGUCCCUGAGCGGGCUGGCAAGGCGCAU